Molecule: non-coding RNA, 171 nt
Organism: Solanum lycopersicum (tomato)
Lineage: Eukaryota; Viridiplantae; Streptophyta; Magnoliopsida; Solanales; Solanaceae
Source: RefSeq, a predicted model, not a curated record
AAUUAAGCUUGAAAAAAAGCAAACAAGCAAUGGCUGCUUCUUCUGCUAAUAAGUGUCGUCCCUUGGCUAAUUUUCACCCAACUGUUUGGGGAUAUCAUUUCCUUUCUUAUACUCAUGAAAUUACUAACCAAGAAAAAGUUGAAGUUGAUGAGUACAAAGAGACAAUUAGAA